Molecule: small RNA, 3257 nt
Filed under: Pongo abelii (Sumatran orangutan)
Lineage: Eukaryota; Metazoa; Chordata; Mammalia; Primates; Hominidae
Description: processed transcript
Source: RNAcentral
AAUUGUCCGCGCGCCUCGCUGCGAUGGCGGCGGCGCCGAGCACAGUCACCCCGCUGGCGGCGGAGUCUUCCCCUCAGGAAGCUACCGUCUCUGCCGCCUCCUCCUCCUCCUACACCGCCUGCGCGGCGGCGGCGGCGGCGGCGGCGGCAGUAAUUGUUCCUGCCUCCUCCGCCACCUCCGCCCCUGCCUGCCCGCCUGCCGGUGGCUGUGGCGACGGCGGCGGCGGCGGCUUUGGCGGCUCCACUAUGGCGGCGGCGGGGAGGGGGGGCAGUAGUUUUAAAGUAGACACCCGCCCUUGCCUCAGAGAAGAUGCCAUUUGGAAUGAACAGGAAAAGGCUGAACUUUUUACAGAUAAGUUUUGUCAAGUAUGUGGAGUGAUGCUACAGUUUGAAUCACAAAGAAUUUCACAUUAUGAGGGUGAAAAACAUGCUCAAAAUGUUAGUUUUUAUUUUCAAAUGCAUGGGGAACAAAAUGAAGUGCCUGGUAAGAAAAUGAAGAUGCAUGUUGAGAAUUUUCAGGUGAGUGAUGUGUGUUGGUAUUGUAAUCUAAACUUUGAGUUAUUGAAUCUUUCUAACAAGAUUGUGCCUAUUUCAGGUGCAUAGGUAUGAAGGAGUGGACAAAAACAAAUUUUGUGAUCUCUGCAACAUGAUGUUUAGCUCUCCACUUAUUGCUCAGUCUCACUAUGUGGGAAAGGUCCAUGCUAAAAAACUGAAGCAAUUAAUGGAGGAACAUGAUCAGGCAUCUCCAUCAGGAUUUCAACCAGAGAUGGGAGUGCCUCUUACUACUUCUGCAGAGUCAACAUUCCUGAAGCCCCUUCCUGUCAAGCCUCCUCCAGGCACCUUCUCACUACUAGUGUAUUUUAUUCCCCUUUCAUAUUCUCUCUUCCACCCAUUUCUUUUCCUCCACUCACUAUUAUUUUUCAGUUCUUUCUUUACCCAGCCUUUCUCCUUCAUGUGAAAAUGUUCAUUCUUCUCUCCUCCUUGAAGCUCUAUUGUUUGUCAUAUGUAACUCUUUAUGCUCUGGUUCUUCUCCUCUAUUUCUGUUUCUUUUUUGUUUUCUCUAUGGGCUCUUUUUUUAUUCAUUACCUAGAUGUAGGUAUUCCCAUGGUUUCAUCCUUGACCUCACUCUACAAACACGAUUUCUAUUUCCCUGGUUUCAUUUCUCAUCUGUAUGCUUGUGACCUUUCUGUCAAGCAUUAGAUUCACAUAUCCAAAUGGCAGCUACUGCUUCACCUGGAUGCCUCAUAGCCAUUUCAAAUCCACCUAGUCAUUCAAAGUAGAAACCCACAGAAUUUUGCUUUCAGCUUUUAUCCUGAGAGUGGGGCUCACUGAACCUCUCUCCUUUCUAAAAUCUGUGGAAAUUACUUUUGGUAACUAAGGCACUGCAGUGAUCUCAGCAUUUAGUAUGAGAACCUAUGUUUGCCAUAUUUGUAGUAUUGCUUUUACAUCUUUAGAUAUGUUCCGGUCCCACAUGCAAGGAAGUGAACAUCAAAUUAAAGAAUCCAUUGUUAUCAAUCUAGUGAAGAAUUCAAGGAAGACACAAGACUCUUACCAAAAUGAGUGUGCAGAUUACAUCAAUGUGCAGAAAGCCAGAGGACUAGAGACCAAGACUUGUUUCAGAAAGAUGGAAGAGAGUUCUUUGGAAACCCGCAGAUACAGAGAAGUGGUCGAUUCCAGACCCAGACAUAGAAUGUUUGAACAAAGACUCCCAUUUGAGACUUUCCGAACAUACCCAGCACCAUACAAUAUUUCACAAGCAAUGGAAAAGCAGUUACCUCAUUCAAAGAAGACAUAUGACUCUUUCCAAGAUGAACUUGAAGAUUACAUCAAAGUACAGAAAGCCAGAGGACUAGAUCCAAAGACUUGUUUCAGAAAGAUGAGAGAGAACUCUGUGGAUACUCGUGGGUACAGAGAAAUGGUUGAUUCUGGACCCAGAUCAAGAAUGUGUGAGCAAAGAUUUUCACAUGAGGCUUCCCAGACCUACCAACGACCAUACCAUAUUUCACCAGUGGAAAGCCAGUUACCUCAGUGGUUACCAACCCAUUCAAAGAGGACAUAUGAUUCUUUCCAAGAUGAACUUGAAGAUUACAUAAAAGUGCAGAAAGCCAGAGGACUAGAGCCAAAAACUUGUUUCAGAAAGAUAGGAGAUAGCUCUGUAGAAACACACAAGAACAGAGAAAUGGUUGAUGUCAGACCCAGACAUAGAAUGUUGGAGCAAAAGCUCCCAUGUGAGACUUUCCAGACCUAUUCGGGACCAUAUAGUAUUUCACAAGUAGUGGAAAACCAGUUACCUCAUUGCUUACCAGCUCAUGAUAGCAAACAGAGACUAGAUUCUAUUAGCUACUGUCAACUCACCAGAGACUGUUUCCCAGAAAAACCAGUACCCUUGAGCCUUAAUCAGCAAGAAAAUAACUCUGGCUCAUACAGUGUAGAAUCUGAAGUUUACAAGCACCUCUCCUCAGAAAACAAUACUACUGACCAUCAAGCAGGUCAUAAACGGAAACAUCAGAAGAGAAAACGACACCUAGAAGAAGGCAAAGAAAGGCCAGAGAAAGAGCAGUCCAAGCAUAAAAGGAAAAAGAGUUAUGAAGAUACAGAUUUAGACAAAGACAAGAGCAUCAGACAAAGGAAAAGAGAGGAGGAUAGAGUCAGAGUCAGUUCAGGAAAGCUUAAGCAUCGAAAAAAGAAAAAAAGCCAUGAUGUACCCUCCGAGAAAGAAGAACGUAAGCACAGGAAAGAGAAAAAGAAAUCUGUUGAAGAAAGGACAGAAGAGGAAAUGCUUUGGGAUGAGUCUAUUCUUGGAUUUUGAAUGUUUAGUUUUGUUUACCCAAGGUUGAAUUGAAAAAAAAAAACAGUCAAUAUGGAUUUAGAAAAAGGAACAUCUGAUGAAGAAAAGGAGAGGUAGAUACAGUCAGUGUCACUUCAGGACACUUAGGGUUUUUUUGUAUAAAAAUUUAAAUUGAAUUAAAACAAGGAAAAAAAAAAGCCCAAACUUAACCUCUGAGAAAGAACAUAAGAACUCAAGGAGAACAUAUAAGAGAAAAGGAAACCUGUUAAAGAAAAGACAACAAUCUGUGUUUUGGAAUGAGUCUAUUCUUGGGUAUUGAACUUCUAGUUUUGUUUGCCCAAGGAUUAAUUGAGGAAAUCAGCUAAGAAAAUUGACUUAGACAAAAGCAAGAGGAUCAGAUGAAGAAAAGGAGAGGUAGAUAGUCAGUGUCACUUCAGGAAAGCUAUUUAAAAAAACUUGAAAUUUAAUUG